AGCGAACGUUAGCGGCGCGCCUAACACAUGCAAGUCGCACGAGAAAGGGAGCAAUCCCCGGUACAGUGGCGCACGGGUGAGUAACACGUAGAUGACCUUCCCUGGAGUGGUGGAUAACCUGCCGAAAGGCGGGCUAAUACAGCAUGGGACCACAUGGUUUUGACCGAGUGGUGAAAGCGGGCCUCUGUUCACAAGCUCGCGCUCUGGGAUGGGUCUGCGUCCCAUCAGCUAGUUGGUGAGGUAAUGGCUCACCAAGGCAUCGACGGGUAGCUGGUCUGAGAGGAUGACCAGCCACACUGGAACUGAGACACGGUCCAGACUCCUACGGGAGCAGCAGUGGGAAUCUUGCGCAAUGGGCGAAAGCCUGACGCAGCGACGCCGCGUGGGUGAUGAAGGCCUC
RNAcentral lists this ribosomal RNA (400 nucleotides) under uncultured bacterium. RNAcentral describes it as "bacterial SSU rRNA". It matches the Rfam family "Bacterial small subunit ribosomal RNA", at positions 29 to 418 of the family's 1533-position model. The record is from RNAcentral.